AGCGAACGCUGGCGGCAGGCCUAACACAUGCAAGUCGAACGAACUCUUCGGAGUUAGUGGCGGACGGGUGAGUAACACGUGGGAACGUGCCUUUUGGUUCGGAAUAACUCAGGGAAACGUGUGCUAAUACCGAAUGUGCCCUUCGGGGGAAAGAUUUAUCGCCAUUAGAGCGGCCCGCGUCUGAUUAGCUAGUUGGUGAGGUAACGGCUCACCAAGGCGACGAUCAGUAGCUGGGCUGAGAGGAUGACCAGCCACACUGGGACUGAGACACGGCCCAGACUCCUACGGGAGGCAGCAGUGGGGAAUCGUGCGCAAUGGGCGAAAGCAUGACGCAGCCAUGCCGCGUGAAUGAUGAAGGUCUUAGGAUUGUAAAAUUCUUUCAACGGGGACGAUAAUGACGGUACCCGGAGAAGAAGCCCCGGCUAACUUCGUG
Molecule: ribosomal RNA, 433 nt
Filed under: uncultured bacterium
Lineage: Bacteria
Description: partial 16S ribosomal RNA
Rfam family: Bacterial small subunit ribosomal RNA
Source: RNAcentral